CCUACGGGCGGCAGCAGUGGGGGAUAUUGCACAAUGGGGGGAACCCUGAUGCAGCGACGCCGCGUGGGUGAAGAAGCGCCUCGGCGCGUAAAGCCCUGUCAGCAGGGAAGAAAAUGACGGUACCUGAAGAAGAAGCCCCGGCUAACUACGUGCCAGCAGCCGCGGUAAUACGUAGGGGGCAAGCGUUAUCCGGAUUUACUGGGUGUAAAGGGGGCGCAGACGGCGAUGCCAGCCAGGAGUGAAAGCCGGGGGCCCAACCCCGGGACUGCGCUUGGAACUGCGUGGCUGGAGUGCAGGAGGGGCAGGCGGAAUGCCUGGUGUAGCGGUGAAAUGCGUAGAUAUCAGGAGGAACACCGGUGGCGAAGGUGGCCUGCUGGACUGCAACUGACGUUGAGGCCCGAAAGCGUGGGGAGCAAACAGGAUUAGAUACCCUUGUAGUC
Molecule: ribosomal RNA, 440 nt
Filed under: uncultured bacterium
Lineage: Bacteria
Description: partial 16S ribosomal RNA
Rfam family: Bacterial small subunit ribosomal RNA
Source: RNAcentral